This 719-nucleotide ribosomal RNA is filed under the name Bacillus sp. (in: firmicutes). Its description in RNAcentral is "bacterial SSU rRNA". The record is from RNAcentral. Lineage: Bacteria; Bacillati; Bacillota; Bacilli; Caryophanales; Bacillaceae.
GCGGCGGACGGGUGAGUAACACGUGGGCAACCUACCUGUAAGACUGGGAUAACUUCGGGAAACCGGAGCUAAUACCGGAUGACAUAAAGGAACUCCUGUUCCUUUAUUGAAAGAUGGCUUCKGCUAUCACUUACAGAUGGGCCCGCGGCGCAUUAGCUAGUUGGGGAGGGAACGGCUCACCAAGGGGACGAUGCGUAGCCGACCUGGGAGGGUGAUCGGSCACACUGGGACUGAAACACGGCCCAGACUCCUACGGGAGGGAGCAGUAGGGAAUCUUCCGCAAUGGACGAAAGUCUGACGGAGCAACGCCGCGUGAGCGAUGAAGGGCUUCGGGUCGUAAAGCUCUGUUGUUAGGGAAGAAUAAGUGCUAGUUGAAUAAGCUGGUACCUUGACGGUACCUAACCAGAAAGCCACGGCUAACUACGUGCCAGCAGCCGCGGUAAUACGUAGGUGGCAAGCGUUGUCCGGAAUUAUUGGGCGUAAAGSGCGCGCAGGCGGUUUCUUAAGUCUGAUGUGAAAGCCCCCGGCUCAACCSGGGAGGGUCAUUGGRAACUGGGAAACUUGAGUGCAGAAGAGGAAAGUGGAAUUCCAAGUGUAGCGGUGAAAUGCGUAGAGAUUUUGGAGGAACACCAGUGGCGAAGGCCAUUUUCUGGGCCUGUAACUGACGCUGAGGCGCGGAAAGCGUGGGGGAGCAAACAGGGAUUUAGAUACCCUGGGUA